Long non-coding RNA from Notothenia coriiceps (black rockcod), 5056 nucleotides. RefSeq lists it as uncharacterized. The record is from RefSeq and is a predicted model, not a curated record. Lineage: Eukaryota; Metazoa; Chordata; Actinopteri; Perciformes; Nototheniidae. The transcript has 5 exons.
CACAGCUAUCAUCGAUGUGACUUUAAGAUUCCUCUAGUGAUUAAGAAAGGAGCUGAUUCCCAGACGGAGGACUGCAUCUUAACCACCUACAACAAGUGGGACCAGAUCCAGGAACUGCUCGGGCACCCAAUGGAAAAACCCGUAGUGCUCCACAGGUCCUCAUCCGCUAAUAACACAAACCCCUUCGGCUCUACAUUCUGCUUCGGACUGCAGAGGAUGAUCUUUGAGGUGAUGCAGAAUAACCACAUAGCAUCAGUGACCCUCUACGGAGCUCCACGGACUAAAGCUCGACCUGAGACCAGUAGUAGUUCCCACUGAACAAGAAACCAGAACCACAUCCCAUUCUGGCCUGUCCUGAAAUCUCUUACCUCUGCUGACUGAACCUCUAACCCAGAGCCAGAUUCUUAACCAAGCAGACCCAACCCAGAGCAACAAAGCAUUUCAUACCCAGCUCAGAUGCUACUCAUGAACAGAAAAUCAACCAGAACCUAGAACGUCUAAAAUCCUGGAGGGUCCUACUUUCUCUUCCAAUAAGACACGUCCAGUCGGCACAGUCUACUCAACCCAGACUAUCUAGGAUCUAGCUGCAUGGUCGCAGUGCUGGACCACUGAUGCAUUGAAAUGAAACUGAUAAAAAUAGGUUUUGGUUUGAAUAUCCCUGUGGUGCUACAAAUUGGUGAAGAAAUCUGUAGAUCUCAAGUAGAGCUCUCCUGUUUCCAUCCAGCGAAUGAGUUUGCCCAGGACCGCAGAAGAAGAGUUUAUCCCGACUGAAGAUUGGAUGGCAUGCAAAGGGCAGUCUGUGUAUGACAUAACCUCCAUAACAUUGUGGCGAGAUGACCUGCAUUCAAUUAUCAUCUGCAAAAAAUCUCUAUGGAAACUGCUCUGGCCAAAGUCUUGAAAUAAACGUGAGCUUGACCCACUGAACUGAAACAUCAACACUGCCAGCUUCAACGAGUACCACCUGUCUUCCUACCGAGACUUCACAACCAGGCUUGGCCGGCUCCAUCACCACCCUCAACGCAUCUAAAACCAUUUGCAUCAGAAGCUGCAGAUCACUGUAACCAAAAAAACAGAAAAAAAACAACCAUAAAAUGAGAGGAAGAGGAGAACCAAACACACUCAGGGGUGUGGAGAGACAUGUGGCCCAGAACACGCCCACAACAGAUGUGAAGCCUCUAGAAGCAGAACCAUCCAAACAUCAGCGUCAUCGUUUCCCUCGUCCAAUGUCCUACGUACUGUUCCUCCAGCUGUCUUCAGUGGUGCACACACACACACACACACACACACACACGCACACGCACAUGCACACAUAUAGUCUUGUCUGUCUCCUUGCUCCAACACUCACAUGAAUGGGAAUCUGCUUGUGUAACGCUGUUGUUUAUUUCAAAUUGACAUUUCAACACACAGCAUUUCAGUCCCUUCACCACUAUACGUGUGUAUUUCUAACACAUAAGAGCUGGUUUAUCUUUUUUAGCCUUUUGAGCACAAACACGGAGACAUGCAGGCAUGGCACGAGAUUUUGCAUGAACUUGCUUUUGAAUGAGAGGACGUAUUAUAAGCACAACUGGCAACCUGUUUGUUGAGUUUUUAUGAUCCUGCACGUUGUUAGGGGUAAAGACAAAUAUAUUUCCAUUUCCCCCGCUUCAAUUAUUCACACCACAACCAUUUUCUUUGUAGUUUUUAAAUUUGUAUUUGCACCAACACACGCCGUUUUACUUACUUGAUUGGUUGAUUUGGCCAUUUCCUCAGACUGUUGGUGGAAACAUUAGGAGAGGUGUGUGUGUGUGUGUGUGUGUGUGUGUGUGUGUGUGUGUGUGUGUGUGUGUGUGUGUGUGUGUGUGUGUGUGUGUGUGUGUACAAGAUCCUCUCAUGCAGUUAUUUACUUUUUGUUACUCUCCUCUUUCUUCAUUUCUACAUCCACACACUGCAAUUCAUCCCUCAGCAAUUGUUUCCCUGUUGAAUUGCCAAAUGCUACAGCCAAAGAAGUUUCAGGAAGAUUUCAAUUGCUGACAUUUUCACUUUAGUCUCGUCCUAAGGAGAGAGUCUCCUUUCUCUUGUGUCAAAACUGCAUCCGCCUCUAAAUUCAGUUCCUGGUGUCUGUUACGGCUGACAAUAAUUACAAGGGAUGUAAAUAACUGACUCAUGUAUCUGUGUGUUUUGAGACCAGAUCAGCCUGUCUCUCAUCUGGAUUCAUUUACAGCCAGACACAUUUACAAUAUGAACAACUAUAACUUGUGUAUUGUUGUAAUUGUUUUCAGAGAGCUGUGAUUUAAAGAUCACCGUUAUUUCUCUGUGAAUUUAAUACAUGGGAACCCAUUCAGGAAAUUGGAAAGAACAUCAGUCAUUCUGUCAUCAUAACAUUUGUUUCCCUCCCAAUGUCUGAAUUUAAAAAAUGUUUUAAUCGUAAGCAUUUGAAAUAAACUGUGUAUUAGUUUGAAUACACACGUUCUCUUUUCUUGUCCAUUCAUACAAAGAACCAUUUAGUUUGUUUCACUAUUGCUGAAUGUAUUAUUGCUUAUGUGACGGCAUUAGGGCCCCUGUACAUGAAUACAUGUUGCAGAUGGGAGAAUAAAAUGCACAGUUGGCUGCUUCGAGGUGUUACACAGUAUUUUUUCAGUGCGGGUCAAAUUUAUUUUGUCAUUAUGUCCUGGCGUAUAUGGAGAAGCUUGAAGAUUUAACAUUCAAACUGGCUCCACUGUGGUGUUUUAUUAUAUAUUCAUUACUCUUCUACAUGUCUGAAUUUCUGUAUUGUUAUGAUAGGAACUAAAGGUUUUAGAAUUUGUACCCUUUAUUUACAGUAAGCUACCUUGUUUUUGGCUCAGAUUUCCAUAGGGUUUCUUUCCGUACGAAUGACCAUGUGAAAUGGAAGUAGAAGAAAUGAAUUUAUGUGCAGUGCAAUUCAAGUUAUUCAGUUUUAUUUUGUGUAUCCUGGCCCUGAUUCUUGGAGUUGAUGUACAAAUGCUGUAAAUGGUUGUGUGCUGUUAAUCCGGCGUCCUGUUAUUUACAUGACCUACAUGGCUUAUACACACAACUGACUCAGGCACUGACUGAGUGUCUUAUUAUUCCCUCUGUCAUUCUGAUUAUACUUUAACUUAGGAGGAUGCAUCUGCUCACAGCUGACUCUUUGACACUGAGAUUUUAAAUUUUUUAUUCCAGUCCACUCUGUAUUAAACAUUGUCCUUGUAAGAUGCUAAGGUGGCACGUACACAGAUUUCAUGUUUAUGUUGGAUCCACCUGGAUGGCAUUAAACUAAAUGGUUGCAGGGAAAACAUUACCCUUUUUCAAAUUUGGACUAGAUGAUAUCUUUGUUUGAGAUGUGUUUUUAUAGUGGACAGAUCUCAUUUGGAAUCUAGCGUUAGCAUGUUGCUAGAGUUAACGUGCACUUGUUUACACGACAAAAACUAAAAUCUCUUACUAGCCAGACCCCUCCCUAAAUUAGGUAUUGUGGUUUUUGGAAGCAGGAGAGUCUUUUCCUAAAAUUGGUGUCACAAGCUAGGGUAAUGUUUCAGGACAAAUGGCAACAAGUAAACUCAUUUUCUCAAUAAGCUCCUACAUUUAGAAUGUCAUUGAGCAAUGGGCUGUCCAGCCAUGUCUGAUGAACCUUGACAUUUCCUUUUUUCUGUCCUGGUUCAUCUAUAGACAUGCAUAUCAACACCUGUGUAAUAUAAUCGCCCUGAUGGAGAUACAACUUGCUUUUGGGCAAGUAGGCCGCCUACAUAAAGAAAAUCCAGAAAAACACAAAACUGUUGAAUAUGGUGCCUGAUCUCCCACCGAGCCUGUCUUUGAUUUGUGUCCCCUUUGUACACAUGUUGUUGUACAUACAGUUUGAAUAUGUAUUUGAAUCUUUGUACGUAUGUGUUUGUGUCAAUGAGCAUUAGCAACAUGCUAACAUGCUUUUAUGGCCAUCUGUUGUUUUAGUUUACCUGUUACAUAGAGAGUGACAAGUUGGUUUGUUUGGAUGGGUUUUUGAGUUUGUUCAUUUUCUUUGCUUUUUUGACCAAGGUUUUUGUUUAGUUUUUUAUAUGUGUGUUUAUAAUUACACCUUGCACCCAGAAGAAUGUGAAAAUGAUUUGCACCCCUAAAGGUUCAUCUUAGGUAGGAAUACAUGAUUUGAGCAACACAAUUCAGCAAGGAAAACAGGAUCUACAUUAAAAACAUUCCUUGUCUUCCACCAUAUUGGUCAUUGCUCAGAAAUUCGAAGAGCUUAUCUUUUGUCAAAGAUGAUGUGAAAGUAAUACAAAGUAGAGACAGGAAUGAAUGAACCAAGAAUACCCUGAGGAGAAACGUACAUAUUUUGAGUAAACUUAGCUCGGCACAAAAAUAUAGAAUCCACUUAUACAUGAAAAAUAUUCUACAUAACGCAGUUUUGGUAAACCCAGUGCAGUGAGCUGCAUUGUUGCUAAAAGAGUAGCUAUAGCGUGCUAGCUAGGUAAUGAAUCUCAUCACAAACUAAAAAAAAACAAGUGGAAACUUUAAUCUGGAGGUCUGUGUUGCUUUUAAAAUAUAACUUUUUCUCUCUUUUUGUAUUCUUUAGUUGAAGUGCAGGAAUGAAUGAUUGUUAUAUCAUUUGUAUUGCUUCAGUUCAGUGAUAAUCUCAUAUUAACGCUUUGUAUUGCCUGUUCUUGGUAUCAUAAUGCUUGUCCAUCUUGCUUUUUCUCAUGAAAAUAUUUCUUGGAUUCAGUGCAUUUGAAGGCCAUUUCUGGAAAUGGGUCAGCUAAUUAAACCUUGUGAAACUCAUUGGAAUUUGGCAUUUUAUAUUUUGAAUACUAUAACUUUAUGUAUGUAACAAGAUGAUUUAUUGAGCUUGUCCACUGAUGAAAGGCAAUAACAAUACCAUGUAGUGCAAAGGGAAGGAAAGGACUGACUGAAAGCUUCGCCCCGGCAAAUGACUUUUUACUGUGUUUGAUGGCAGUAGUUGAUAUUACUGCUGCGCAAUGCCAACAACUCCAAUGCAACGUUCAUAAAAUCAAAUACUCACAAAUCAUCGACAUCAAAGAUCAUUUUCUUUGUGUGCAACCAGGAUAUGAAAAAAACAAUACAAAUGUGGAUGUGAAAA